AUUUAAACAGGGCUGCCAUACAUCCGGAUUUCCCCAAACAUUCCCGGGAUUUCAAAGGCGGAAUUGAUGUCCAGGAGGAAUUUCCAAAAGGUGGCACUUUGUCCUGGAUCUUAGACAAGAAAUUGUGGGGUGGGGGUUUUGGGGGGCGUUUUUGAAAUAUGGCAACCCUAAUUUAAAGCACGCAUCCCACUCCCGACCCAAAAAUCAUGCGAACUGUAGUUUACCCUUCACAUAACUACAAUUCCCAGCGCUCUUAACAAACUACAGCUCCUAUAAUCAGGGGUGGGGAGUGUGCUUCAAAUGCAUUGUGUGUACCCAGCCCCAAACAGUUUCAACACAUGUUGCCUGCAAAGGUAUGUAGUGCGGGGGCAGCCAAUGUCAUUGGACCCCCUGCUUCCAUCUUCCCCAGCUAGCUGCAGACCAGCAACAUCUAGAGGACCACAGGUUCUCCACCCCUGUCAUAGUAUGUCUGUUUUAGUUCCACACAGCACUCACAACCUACCACAAGCAUAGCCUAGGGAUGGGCAUUUACACGUCACUGAAAAAGAGGAGAGGAGAGGACACUAAUUUGGAUAAGCUGGUUGAUUGCAAGUAUAUAAGUAUAGAUGCAAUUUUCUAAAUUAUUACAAUUUAAAUAAAAAUGCAUCUUGCAACUAUUACUAUUACUAUAUACCCCACCAUUUCCCCUGAUGGGACCCUGUCCUUGUGAGGAAGACCUUGGUCAGGUGCCUGGGUGCCUGCUCAUCCUGCUGUCCAGGUGCUAACUUCAAGAAUCCUGCUCUUCCUACUUCUACCUUUAAACCAGACUUGGAUCUGGCAGGCCUUCAAAAACAACCCUGUCCUCUGCAUUGUAGGACACGUGGUCACCUUGCCUAUCAAGUAAAAAAGAUCUGGGCACCCCCAAUCAGUGUCACCCAACUGGAACAAUACUGGGGAGGGGAAAAACAGGCUACCAGAGAACGCAAUGCAUUGAGGUUUUGUAGCCAUUGCUUAUUAUUUCAGGUUCACUUCUUUGCAGGUCACUCGUUCUUUUCAGUAUCUACACUAUUAAGAAACAAGUGACAGCUCACGUCAGUAGAGGACGAGACUCUUAAUCUCAAGGUUAUGAGUUUGAGCCCCAUGUUGAGUUAAAGAUUCUUGCAUUGCAGAGGGGUGGACUAGAUGACCCUUUGGGCCCCUUGCAACUCUACAAGUCUGUGAUUCUGUGAAAGCCACAGCUCAUAUGCAAGCCUGUUCCUCUCCCCUUCUAUCCAAUUCCAGAGAGACGAGAUUUAGCACUGUUGUAUCUUUUAAAGAGAUUUGCAGUGUAUUGCACUCAAGUUAAAAUGAUAGUGACUCAAAUUUCCCUGAUGGUACAUAAAAGCCCCUAGAGAAGCCAGAAAUCACGAGACUUGUCAUUAAAAUGUCAAGGACCCAACAUUCACUUUUCUCAAAGGGUAUAAAGCUUUGGAAUGUUGCUGGGGAAAGUGCUGGGUCAAUAGCAAUAUUCAGCUUUAAGCAUCUCUCUCAUCAUGUCAGGAGGGAUCAUCAAUAUGGAAUUUUUAGGAACAUGCAAAUGAGCAAGGUAUUUGAUUCCCAGUGGCUUCUUUUCGCAGAUCUUUUACAGACCUGCUUUGAUAGUUUGCCAGCAUGCUCAGCAGGAAUUACCUCCAAAAGCAGUCCACCUAUGUUACAAACAUCCUCCCAUACCACCAUCUUUAUAAUCUUGACAGUAGAUUGAAGACACAUUGCAAUAAUUACAUGUGUCAUUUAUAUUUUUGGAAGGGGGGGGGAUUUUGUUCCGCUUUCUUGAUUACUGAGAUUUUCCGCUCCCCACCAAAUCCACAAGCAUUGGGUGUGGAUCCACAUGGGUGGCGCUGUGGUCUAAACUACUGAGACUCUCGGGCUUGCCGAUCAGAAGCUCAGCAGUUUGAAUCCCCACAAUGGGGUGAGGUCCCAUUGCUCCUUCCCAGCUCCUGCCAACCUAGCAGUUCAAAAGCACACCAGUGCAAGGAGUCUGCGGACAAAUGCCAGCUCCCUCGAUCUGAAAGUGAGAUGAGAGCCUCAACGCCAUAGUCGCCUUUGGCUGGACUUAACCGUCCAGGGGUCCUUUACCUUUACACAUGGGUGUAUACACAUUUGUGCAACGCCAUAACCUUCCACUGCAAAGAGGUUCUAGCAUUUUGCUCUUUUAUAGGCUUGAAGAGAAGGGAGAAAUAAGCAGAGUGAGCCACACAACUAAGGCCCAGUAGAGAUGAAGGCAACGAUUAAUAUGACUCUUCUCAGAGGACUCUUUCCGAGGACUGAAGAAGCAGUUAAGUGCUAUAGUGUGGUUCUCACAAGCAUGGAG
This 2329-nucleotide long non-coding RNA is filed under the name Podarcis lilfordi (Lilford's wall lizard). The record is from RNAcentral. Lineage: Eukaryota; Metazoa; Chordata; Lepidosauria; Squamata; Lacertidae.